This 528-nucleotide long non-coding RNA is filed under the name Androctonus crassicauda. The record is from RNAcentral. Lineage: Eukaryota; Metazoa; Arthropoda; Arachnida; Scorpiones; Buthidae.
CCUAGAUCUAAAAAAUAACCUACCAAAUCAUACCAAAUAACACACAAAAUUUAAAAUAACAUUACAGAUAAUAAAAGCAGAAAUGAUAUGAUAAAUACAUUAUUUCUACAUUAUAUAAACUGUAUGUACAUUGUAUUUUUACUUAAGACACUUUAUAUUUUCAGUUAAACUGAAACAUAAAUGUUGCCUUAUUAUAUGACAUAUACUGUAUUAGAUAUAGUAUAUGCCAUAUCACACUUGGCAUAUACUGUAUCUAAUGAUAAUGACUUUUAGAGAUCAUGACCUGGUCAACACCCAUGAUAAUGUCAAACAGAAGAUUGAAGGAAGGGUUCAAUAACCCAGAGCUGAACCCUUCAAAAAAACCGAUGAUGUGAAAUUGGAAAUGAAGUUGUAUACUUCAGAAUAGUAAAUUACAUUUCAACAAGGCAAUCUUGCUGAUUUCUUCUAAUUUCUUUCAGUUAGUGAAAAAAGAUCUGAUAUGAAUUUUUCAUAAAAGUGAAAUGAUGCUAAAUAAACGUAAAGCAGGAC